RNAcentral lists this ribosomal RNA (434 nucleotides) under Neisseria mucosa. RNAcentral describes it as "bacterial SSU rRNA". It matches the Rfam family "Bacterial small subunit ribosomal RNA", at positions 30 to 458 of the family's 1533-position model. Lineage: Bacteria; Pseudomonadati; Pseudomonadota; Betaproteobacteria; Neisseriales; Neisseriaceae. The record is from RNAcentral.
AUUGAACGCUGGCGGCAUGCUUUACACAUGCAAGUCGGACGGCAGCACAGAGAAGCUUGCUUCUUGGGUGGCGAGUGGCGAACGGGUGAGUAACAUAUCGGAACGUACCGAGCAGUGGGGGAUAACUAAUCGAAAGAUUAGCUAAUACCGCAUAUAUUCUGAGGAAGAAAGCAGGGGACCAUUUGGCCUUGCGCUGUUUGAGCGGCCGAUAUCUGAUUAGCUAGUUGGUGGGGUAAAGGCCUACCAAGGCGACGAUCAGUAGCGGGUCUGAGAGGAUGAUCCGCCACACUGGGACUGAGACACGGCCCAGACUCCUACGGGAGGCAGCAGUGGGGAAUUUUGGACAAUGGGCGCAAGCCUGAUCCAGCCAUGCCGCGUGUCUGAAGAAGGCCUUCGGGUUGUAAAGGACUUUGUCAGGGAAGAAAAGGGCGGGG